GUUCAAAGUAAACCUGCACAAGCUCAUCCUGUUUGCUCUUCUUGCACUCUACAUCAUUCUCCUCUCAAAAACCUUGGGUUUUUCAGGUCUGUAUAUGCAGAAGUUGCAGUCCCGACGACCUGCCAGUCCUCCGCCGCCUUCUCCAAGCGUGCCAUGGUCCCCCAAUCCUUAGUAGCCCUGGCUGGGAUUGUGUAUGAUCAUCAAUCCCUAUAUUGUAUUAUCUAAUAAUGAAUUCUCAUUUUCAGUCAUGUAACGAGAUUAUGAACAUAAAAUAAAGAAAUUCUAUGAAAA
Molecule: long non-coding RNA, 291 nt
Organism: Vitis riparia (riverbank grape)
Lineage: Eukaryota; Viridiplantae; Streptophyta; Magnoliopsida; Vitales; Vitaceae
Exons: 2
Source: RefSeq, a predicted model, not a curated record